Molecule: ribosomal RNA, 500 nt
Filed under: uncultured bacterium
Lineage: Bacteria
Description: bacterial SSU rRNA
Rfam family: Bacterial small subunit ribosomal RNA
Source: RNAcentral
GAGAGUUUGAUCCUGGCUCAGAUUGAACGCUGGCGGCAUGCCUUACACAUGCAAGUCGAACGGUAACGCGGGGCAACCUGGCGACGAGUGGCGAACGGGUGAGUAAUAUAUCGGAACGUGCCCAGUAGUGGGGGAUAGCCCGGCGAAAGCCGGAUUAAUACCGCAUGAGACCUGAGGGUGAAAGCGGGGGAUCGCAAGACCUCGCGCUAUUGGAGCGGCCGAUAUCAGAUUAGCUAGUUGGUGGGGUAAAGGCCUACCAAGGCAACGAUCUGUAGUUGGUCUGAGAGGACGACCAGCCACACUGGGACUGAGACACGGCCCAGACUCCUACGGGAGGCAGCAGUGGGGAAUUUUGGACAAUGGGCGCAAGCCUGAUCCAGCAAUGCCGCGUGCAGGAAGAAGGCCUUCGGGUUGUAAACUGCUUUUGUCAGGGAAGAAAUCUUCUGGGUUAAUACCUCGGGAGGAUGACGGUACCUGAAGAAUAAGCACCGGCUAACUAC